RNAcentral lists this long non-coding RNA (272 nucleotides) under Gopherus agassizii (Agassiz's desert tortoise). Its description in RNAcentral is "lncRNA (ENSGAGG00000000939.1)". The record is from RNAcentral. Lineage: Eukaryota; Metazoa; Chordata; Testudines; Testudinidae.
UCCUAGUCUAGCUGGGGCUUGUGACGGCACUGAGGAAGCAAUCCUUGAGCUCCUCCAAAGGCAGCAACCGUGCCUAUGACUGGUCCUUACAUGAGCCACACAAAGGAGAUCAGGAGAAGGUGAGGCACUACCUGGAAUCCCCUCAGAAACACCAUGUUGGAAUGUGUUCAGUUUACCAGAUGCUGACAGUGGUUGUGAAGCCACCUGUCCUUUCCCAUAAGAAGAAACCACCAGGAACCCAAAUGGAAGAUUUUGAAGUUCUCCAUCUGUGA